RNAcentral lists this ribosomal RNA (305 nucleotides) under uncultured bacterium. RNAcentral describes it as "bacterial SSU rRNA". It matches the Rfam family "Bacterial small subunit ribosomal RNA", at positions 335 to 657 of the family's 1533-position model. The record is from RNAcentral.
GGUCCUACGGGAGGCAGCAGUGGGGAAUAUUGGGCAAUGGGCGCAAGCCUGACCCAGCAACGCCGCGUGAAGGAAGAAGUAUUUCGGUAUGUAAAGCUCUAUCAGCAGGGAAGAAAAUGACAGUACCUGACCAAGAAGCCCCGGCUAACUACGUGCCAGCAGCCGCGGUAAUACGUAGGGGGCAAGCGUUAUCCGAAUUUACUGGGUGUAAAGGGAGCGUAGACGGUUAUGUAAGUCUGGAGUGAAAGCCCGGGGCCCAACCCCGGGACUGCUUUGGAAACUGUGUAACUGGAGUACAGGAGGGG